UAACUUAUAGGAAAUGGAAUUGAAGAUUGUUCUCCUCUAAGUUCAAACAAGGAUUCCAAAAACCACAAGAAUAAUUUGAAAUUUGAAAACCAAACUUAAGAGGCCAAAAUAUCAAAAUUGUUGUUUGUGAAUAAGUUCUGGAUACUAAUGAAAACCUAAGAUUUUUCUAUAAAUACUCAAGAUCUUUUGGAUUUGAAUUUCAAACUCCAUCUUUUCCGACCCAUAUCUAACGACCUCUAGUGACGACGUAUCAAAAAUUUGAUGACUUAUCAGAUAAGUUGUCAAUUCAACUUCUCCAGUAUCUAUGCUCUGCCUACAGGUGAUGACUUCAUCUGAUGACCUAAUAAGAACAAGUUGAUAGAUUAUUAGACCAGUCAUCAACUUGACUUCUUCACCAUAUACAUCCUUUCUAUGGGUGAUGACUUUCUUUUAUAACUUCUCAGCAGGUUGAGGACUUAUCGAACAAGUCAUCAACUGAAAUCUUCAAAACUUAUCUUCAUAUUUGCUUCUUUAGAAAUGUCCUUCUUGACAUAGUUUUCAUAGGUUUUCAUGCAUCUCGACUUCUCUGCAAAAUAAAUUAAAUAUAACAAAAAAUUAACAACAGUUACAUAAGAACUUACAAUUAUUUCAAGCUAAAAGCCUUAAAUGUGCUAACACAACGCUAGAACAUCAGCACCCUCAACUUAAAACACUUGCUUGUCCUCAAGCAACUUGCACAGUAUUAUGCACACAACAAGAGCAUCAAUGCAAAAAGUAGCAUUUGUUUUCUUCAUUUUUUACCCAUUACGAAACAUGUGAUCUUUUUCCUGCCAAGAAACAUCAAGAUUCCAUAAACAUUUUAAAAGUUCAAACAAACAAACCACUACUUCAAAUCAGAAUAUUCAAUGAAAUGUUUAGCAAUUACCACUGCCAUUCACAUGCCCUUACAUUGAAGAAAGAAGUUCCUUACUCUAAAUUUUUCAUAUUUCUUCUAGGAACUAGACAUUAAAUCUCUCACUUUUAGAAUGAAGUUUCAAAUUAUGCACUUACAUGCCAUAGUCUUACCCUUACCAUUCCGUUUGGGUCAUCUAAUAGUUAAAAUAUGAUCACUACAGGGUUUUUUUGGCUUGAAAUGAAGUUUUAAGUGCCGGAAAGGUCAACUUAGGAUUAGUGACUUAGCUCCCUUUGUUCAUUUACACCACUUGGCUACAACCACUUAUUCAUUUGUAUUCCUCUCACAAUCGACUUUUCUGAAUUGGUUUCCUUCAUAGCAUUCCCAAUGAGCACCAUUUAUUUAUUUAUUCAUUUUUUUUGGAAUAUGACAACCUUCAUGACAUCUUUCAUACCUUUCUGUCAUUAUCUCCUCUACUAUAUCCACCCUUAACUUAGGUAAUUUGACUGAAUUGAUAUGUAUAAUAUCCUAAGGGAGAACUAGGGCUAAAAUAAAGGUUUUACUAUGUAAUUAAUGAAAGGUGGUUAGGAUAUGAAACAAGAAAAGAUCUAAUGGCUCAAAAGGAAAACAAAAAGGGAUCUUUUACAACCUUAUGGGUUGUUGGGUCACUUAUAAAUAAUGGCCUGUGAUCAUUUCUCAAAUGAAUAAUUGCAAACUAACAGAAUGACUUGGGAAAGUUCUAGAUGCAAGCAUAUAAUAAGAAAAUAUCUACAAAACCUCACUCUCUCCUAUCAUGGAACUGUAAUGUCAUCACCAAAUACUCAAUCAAGACUCAAGAUCAAGCAUGGAGUGCCAUAUUUUCAUACUUCCAUAAACAAAAAUGGUUUACCAUGCACUCGACAAUCAAUCUUUCAUUCCAAUUUUUUUUAUGAUUUUACAAUUUUUAUACUUUUGGACUUAUACAAUUGCUACUCAGUCACAUCUAUUUCUCAUGCAUACAUAAUACAAAACAAAUCAAAUUAACACACAGUAAAUCCUCAUAUGUUGGUUAUCUUAUAUUAGUCCACUGUGUCUCAUAACACACCUGGUGCUAAUGGUGGUGGAAUAAUUGCUCCUAUAGCACCAGCUUCAUCUAAAUCAGUAUCAUCCUCAUCAUCAAAUGCAAAUUGCACAGUAGGUUGGGGGUUUUCUCUCCCUAUAACUGGAUGAUUUUGAUUCACUAGUGCAGCUAUAUUCUCUACAUGCCUCCUAUUUUCAGGAUCAAUCAGAUCAUCAUCCCCUAGUUCAUCAUUAUCUGCAUUAGCCAAUCAACCUAGGUUAUUGAUGUUUCAUUGAUUGGGCUGUGCAUUAGCCAAAGACGCUAAUAUUUCGGCUUUUUAUUAUGCAGUCAUUCUCCCAAUAAGAUAAGGUUCUGAGUUGAAAGGUAAUAAUAAUUCUCCUAAUCUUAUGGUUCAUUUCAUAAGCAGCAGAAAACCUAUUAAGUUCAAAAACAACAAAUAAAAGUAAAAUUUGGAAAGUUAAUUAAAAGUCAAUUAACAUAGAUAUACUUAAUUGGCAACUGUAUUCCCCGACAAUGGUGCCAAAAUUUGUUUCACCCAAAUUAGACCUCUCUUGUGGGAGAGUAAGCGGUCUUCAUCAAAUAUAUAACACAACUAGGUUGGGGUCGAGUCCAAAAGGGAAUACGGUAUUAAUCAAGACUAUUUGUGAUUCAACUGACUAAUAGUUAAUAUUUCUCUUUAAUUAGGGGUUUUUAUCAAUCAAACAAUUGUUAAUAGUUCAACUUAAUUUAGUAGGUCAAAGUCAAUAUUUCAAUACUUCAAAUCAAUGAUGUAUUAAAACUAGAGUUGUGAUCACUAUGUGUAUUGAUGUUUAUUGAAUAAAAGUUGUAGCACUAAAUCAUUGUGACAUGUGAGAAACCACAAAUUAUCAUUAUGGAUAGAUAAUCCUAGCGUCUCUUAACCUAUAGAGAUGAUCAAUUUCUACAUCCUUUUGAACUUAGGAAUUACCAUCUAUUAUACUGAUUUUAUCAUAAGUUGAUUAGUUUUGUUACAGCAUUAAUCAUUAGAUGGAAAGUCAGUUUUUCUAAUCCCCAUUGAUAAUCCACUUCCUUUAACUGAGUUCUUAGUUCAAGAAAAUAAAGGUAAGUCUAUUUCUAUUAUUUGCAACCAAUAGAAAUCAUGUAAUGCAAAAGAAUUAUCAAGAUAAAUCCCACAGUCAUUCGAAUCUUAUCCAACUAUUAAACCAAUAAAACAAAAGUCAUAAUUCCACAACUCUAGUUAUGGGAUUUAGUUCCUAAUGAGAUAGAAAGAUAUAGGAUAAAUUAAUUCCAUAAAUCAAGAAAUUAACUUACAGAAAAUAGAAUUGAAGAUUGUUCUCCUUCAAGUUCAAACAAGGAUCCCAAAAACCACAACAAUAAUUCGAAAAUGGAAAACCAAACUUAAGAGACCAAAAUAUCAAAACUGUUGUUUGUGAAUAAGUUGCAGGUGCUAAUAAAAUCUAAGAUUUUUCUAUAACUACUAAAGAUCUUGGUGAUUUGAAUUUCAAACUCGAGCUUUUCAGCCCAAUAGCUGAUGACCUCAUAUAAUGACUUAUCAGACAGUUGAGAACUUAUUAGAUAAGUCUUCAGCUCACCUUUUCCAACAUCUAUGUUCUGUCUACAGGUGAUGACUUCAUCUGACGACCUAUCAAGAUGUUGAAGACUUAUUGGACAAGUCAUCAACUUAACUUCUUCAACAUAUACAUCUUGUCUAUGGGUGAUGGCUUCCUUUUAUAACUUAUCAGCAGGUUGAAGACUUAUCAAACAAGUCAUCAACUAAAAUCUUCAAAACUUAUCUUCAUAAUUUCUUUCUUAGAAAUGUCCUUCUAGACAUAGUUUUUGUAGGCUUUCAUUCAUCUCGACUUCACUAUAAAAUCACAUGAAAUAUAAUUGAAAAUAACAAUAGUUACUUAAGAACUUACAAUUAUUUCAAUAUAAAAGCCUUAAAUGUUCUAACACCACGCUAGCAUAUCAACAACCUUAGAUAGUUAUUUCGACCAUGCUAUUGAGUCUGGAGCAUCAAAUUUUAUUGAGUAGCAUAGUUCUUUUGCAUUUAUGGAAUUUUUGAUGGAUACUAAGGGGUUCAGAGGAAACUUUGAGAAAUUCUAAGUCUUCAAUUGGUGUACUCAGUUGGUGCCAUCAUUUAAGAGCCAAUUGGGUCUCUUAAGCGAUGGUUGCUUAAGUGCCUAGCCAGUUUCAUAAAGACCAGGCUUGCUCAGCUGAUGCCGUUUAAUAAAAUCCUUUACCUCUUAAGAGACUCAUAUAUAUGGUUCAAUUGUCACAAAAGUGGAACUUUACAACUUAAGCAAUAACCGUUUAAGCAGCCCAAUAUCUGCUUAAGCGACACCUGCACCAUUCAUUUCCCUAAUUAGUCUAUUUUCUCCUAUUUUCACACUUUUUAAAUUGUGUUGAAUCCUAGAGAUUGUGGAAACUUUGAAGAAAAUUGGUAGAUGGAUUUUUUAUUUUUGUGAGCUUAAAUUUCUUAUUUCUUCUCCAAAAUCUCUCUAUGUUCUCAAUAAUUUCAAGGUAAAUUUCUCAUUUAUUUUCAAAAUUCCCCAGAAUAUUUGUAGGUUUAUUCUACCGCUAUUUGAGCUUGGAAUUUACCCAUUAUUAAGGUUAAAUAUUCCUUAAGCAUGAGGAACACAUUGAUGGUUUUGAAAGAGAGAAUAUGAAAGUGGGGCUGACAUAGGAUUUUAACGUAAUUUUUUAUGCGAAGCACAAAAAUGCUAUAUGGGUACCAUUAUUCUCUUAUUGAUGGGUAGAUUAUUGUUGAUAGCAUAGCAUCAUGCAGAAGCUUCUCUUAAGGAUAAAUUUAUGAUUUAGUGGAUAUCGCUUGGAUUUUAUUUUAUGUACAAGUAGGAUAGGUUUACCUUCUCAUAGAUUGAGAUAAUUUGUAGUAUAUUUAUUAUAAUAUUCUAGAGAUAGGUUAGGAAUUAGGUCUUAGAGAUAUAAUUGUUGUAAUUUGGAAUAUUUUCCUUAUUAUGGAACAGUAAAUCAGACAUAAUCGAUGUAGUUUCUAAUGUUUUAGCUAGGAUUUCUAACUAGGGGCUCAUUAUGUCUUAUUUAACAUCUAGUAGAAAUAUUAGAUACCUUAUCCUUGACCAUAUAUAAUUUUCCUAACAACAAAUUUCUAGGAUUGCAAGUGUGCCUGGGUCAGCUCACCUUAGGCCAAGACUUUUUUUGCUUUUUGUAGACUUAUAUAAGAAUGUUGUACCAUUUUUUUAAUGUUUGUUCGGUAGUUGAAGAGGCUAGAUACAUGAUACUUACGUUAAAAUGGUAUUUGAGAGUUGGUGUUGUGCUUUUAACCAAUUUUUGUGAUUUAUUGAUAUUGAGUUUUACUUCAAGUCAAGCAAUUGAUUAUAUUUAGUAUCGAUUAGUGUCCAGAAUUGAGCGGUUAUUUAUGUUAUGUUAUGGAAUUGAUUUAUAUUCGGUUAUGACUUGGGAUAUGCUUCAUUAAUUUUAUUUAAAUUACUUACCUUAUUUAUUGCUUUAUGUGGGCUUAUGGGGGCCCACAUUGGGUUAUUUAUUUUACAUAAUUACUAAUGUCUGGGGGAUAAUCUUGUAGUAUUAAUUAUCCUUUCAUUCAUAUUUUAUCCCCAUAGAAUAUUUAUUUAAAGUAUUGGAGAAUUAUUCCAGGUUUGACCUUUCAUCUUAACUUAGUUUUUUUAUCAAACAACUUUAUUGUACUUAUAUUAUGAUUUAGCUCAAUCGGACGAUGAUGCCUACUUAGCACCCAUGUUUCUUAUACUCAUAGUAUACUGGUGUUCCUUUUUUGCAUAUCCAAGUAGUACGGGUUGUCAUUGACAUAUACUGCUUAGAUUGCAGCGGCAGAGUGAGCUCUCAGAGUAGGUGUUGACCUUUUCUCCUUCUUCUACUUUUCUUAGUCUUUCACUAUUAGAGACUGAUAUGUAUUGAAUACCACAGUACUUAUAUUCCUUUUUUCUAGUAGCUCCUUUAGUGACACUACUAGGUCAUGGGAUGUUAUUUCUAUCUUAUCUAUCUUUCAAAUUAUUAUUAUUACUUGAAUUAUUACUGUAAGUCAUUAUUUGCAAUUACGUGGAUUAUGUGCCUUUUUCUACCCAAUUAGCCGAUUGAUUAUACUUCUGAGCUAUGGUUUAGUUUACUACUGGUGAGAUAAAAUAAAUGUUGUCAUGAAACAUAAAUUAGAUCAUGGUAGUGAUAUAAUAAGAGUUGUAGAAUCACUAAGUAUUAAUAAUCCGAUUAAGUUGACCCAGAUAGCUAAAGUAGGGUUGAUUAGAGAUGAAACCGACCUAGUUGCACAAACAAUGACACAAUCUUUUACCUCAUUUGUAGUGUCCUUAUUUAAGGGUCUUUUAGAGUCAAUCGAGAAGGUUGAUAGGUCGAUACUGGGUAGUGAGAAUAAUAUAGGUACUCGACAAUUAGAAGGUUCAGAUCUUAUAUGUAGUGAGGGGAUCACAAGCACUUUAGUUUUGCCUUGUCAAUCAAUAGUACCCCCAUGCCUGUCAAUAUUUUUAUGGUUAUGGUAUCUCAAGAUUUUUAGCAAAGAUUAGUGGAUAGGAAGACAGAGCUGGUCGAGCCCCAGACUAACAUAAACACCAAUUUGUUAAGUUACUAAUUAAUAUUAGGCCAUGGGUGUGUGUAACUAUUAAGACACAAGAUUUGUAGAUUGAGGAUCUAAUGAUCACUGUGAUGGAAUAUUUUACGAUUGAGACAUAUGUGAGGAUUGAUAAUUUUGAGAUCUAGAUAGGGGAGAGACUGUACGAGGACCUGAUUAUAAAUCUAUCUAGGGACUUGAUUAUAAAUCUAUCUAGUAUGAUGCAGAAGGUUUCCACAUUGAGGUUUGGGGUUUGUGUAUUAGAGAAGUGCUAUACUCCUAUCAUCUCUCAUUUGUUUCACUCAUCUCACAACCAUUACAUUAAACUCCAUCGAUGGUAAUUUAUUUGUUUGUUGAUGUUAAUGAGCACCUGAUUGCUAGGGUCAAGAGAGAAUGAGUGAUCAUGGAUUAGAUAUGCAAUUUAGAUGAGUUUGAGAGGAAUUUAAAGAGGUCAGUUAGGGAGUAACUAACUCAAUAUCAUCUUUACUAGAUUAAACAUUAAAAAUAGAUUUUAGAGCCUCAUUUAAUCGACACAACUACCUCCUGGGAAUAAUCCUAAUAUGUCUCCUAACAAUUAGUUAGGGGAGAGUCUACAUCCGAUGCCUAGAACAUCGCAGGCAUGUCUCUACUCCCUUGUUUUACUUACUUUCUUAGUUAUGCACUGAGGAUAGUGCAUCAACUUUUAGUUGUUUAUGAGUGUGUACCACCACUUAGGGUUAUUUUUGUUGUGUAUAUCUUUCAAAAAAUGAGCAAUCAUACUAGAGUUGACAUGUCUAGAAUAUUGUAUUUUUUGUUCUUUUGUGUUAUGUUUGAUUAGGAGUAAAAUAAGGAACUUUGGUGAAAUAAAAUCUUUUUUAUGAUUUUUUGUAUUUAAAGGAUACCCCUCUUGAUAUUUUUGUUAAAUUGUUUGUUGUGAAGGUAUGAAAUAGUGACCAUUGUUGGAUAUUGUUAUGACAUUAGUAUUACGGAUAAGAUAAUAGUAGUUUAGAAUUGCAUGAACAUUAUAGGUAGUAGUUAAGGAUGUGACCCUCUAUUUUGUGAUUGUGAGGUGUUUACUUAAUUCUCUUUGUGUGUGCAGUUAAGGACUUGCCCUGAUAGACUUGCCUAGGUUAUAGGUUAUAGGAUAGUUGAUUGGGACCAGAUCAUCAUACAUUCUUGAAAAAAAGUCCACUUUAUCCUAAAUGACCAACCAAAUGAAAUAAAUAUCCUUUGAUCCUAAAUUUGAUCCUUAAUUGACCUAUUUUAAUGUAUUAACCCAUUCAUUGUCAUGUUUUAAUUCCAAUGAACCUAUUUUAGACCUGGUCCUUCAUUGGAUAUUAUAUACCUCAACUUAGGUAAAGCACAUAAUUUUAUGGUGUCUAUCACAGUGGUGGUUAGUUGGAUAUAAGUAUGAAGAAUAAUGUUGAGAAAAAAAAAGAAGGUAAGGUUGGGUGUCAUAAAAAGGGAAAAAAAGGGAAGAAAAUAAUAAUUGUGAUAAUAAAUAUAAAGUAUUAUGAAAAAUGACACGUAAUCUUUAAAUAAAUAAUGGAGAACAAAGGUGAGCAAAAUCCGCUUGGUUGAGUAGUGGACCUGAUUGAAUAAGCGUAGUGUAACUAUUACCCAUAUGUACCAUACCUGCCAAAAGCCUACAUUACUAGACAAGAAAGGUCAUAUAAUGAUACUAGUGUAAUUACUCGAAAUACUAAGGCAUAGAAAAAAGGGCAAGACUAUGUUAUUUCAUGCACAUUGUUUGAACUUCUUUGUGAGAAUAAGUGGUUUGUUGUCCCUACAUUGAUAUUUAUUACUAUACUGUGAGAUUAUAGGAUCACUUUAUUAUGAGAGUACAUGGGUUUCAUUGUAAUCUUCUAUUUGUUUGGAUAAUGUCUUUUUCAUACAAGCUUGGUUUUUUGUUGGUAAUUAGAUGCCAUCACUUUAUCCCUUUUGUCUCGCGAUAUUGUUCUACAUAUAUACGCACAACGAUUUAAGAAAUUAUGCAUAAAAAGGGGUUGAAAUUUUUUGUUAAACUAAAUGAAUUGGCUGUAUUAGGUACCUUAGGUUUCUCUAAGUUAAGUAUCAUCAGUGUUUAUUGUGUUCUAUUUUGCUGAGGAUACGCAAACUCUCUAUGAUAAGGGUAUUGAUGUUCAAUGGUUUCAUGUUGCUUUUGAUGCUUAAAACAAGGAAGUUAUGAAAGGAUUUGGGUAUUUUUGUUGGGUAUGAUGUGUUUUUUGUUUUGAUUUUGUAGGAUGAAAAUAUUCCAAGGUACGAAAAGUUAGGGACUCAUGAGUGUAUUCAUGACUCAUCCAUGGGACCCAUCUCUAACCACUGGGACCUAUAACUUGAGUUCUAGAGAUGAAAAAAAUGUCUGAUUUCUAAGAUUUGAUCCACUACUCGUGACUCCAACCCAUGACUAAUGGCUUGCAGUCGUGAUUCAUAAACUGUCGACUAAUAAUUAACCUAAUUUCCAUGAUAGUUUCCUAUGAAUCAAGGGUCUAAUCCACGACUGCACCUAUGAGUUGUAAGAUGUUGCUGACUUGGUUCUCCUGUAUUAUUUAGGAUAGGAUUCAUUUUGUAUCUAUAAGUACUCUUUUUUGUUUUGUGUUUAGUUUACAGGCUUUUACAUUAUUUUAUUGUUAUUUGGCAUAUUUUUGAUCUCAGAAUCAUUGAUAUUAGUCUUUAGGGUUUUUACUCAAUUUCUGAUUUUAGUUUUUCAUCUAUUUCUUUUAAGUUCACAAUUAAGCUUCCAUAUAUGAAUUAUUCUAAAGUAUUGACGAUCAUGUGUAUCUAAACCCCAAAACUAGGGUUGUGGGAACCAUAAAGAAAUAUGAAUAUGUUAUUUAGGUAGUCAUUCUAAACCAUCGUGCUUGAAUGUAUUGGUAUUUGAAUAGAUUUGAUUGCUUUCUUAAUGGUUGCAAAUGUUAGGAGCUCAUUUUUAUUUUAUACUUGCUCGAGAGAUCUAUGGAGAUCGGGAAGAAAGAGAUAUUAAUAGUAAUUUGGAGCAAUCAACCUUCAUUUAAAUAAUUUAAUCCUGAAACAUGAUCGUUAAUCUGAUUUCACAAAAUAAGGUUUAGUAAAGUGAUGUUUUGAGGUCUAGAAGAGAUGAGUGAAGUUCAUUUAACAAAGUUUGAGAGAUGGUUGGUGAUGCAUAAGUUGUUAGAUGUUACAUGCAAGGCAAAGAUAUGGUUUGCUAGCACGAAUAACAUAUGAAAUUAGGAAGUUAUGAGAAAUACAAUCCUAGUGCUCGUCUCAUUUUGAUCAUAAUCGAAGUGACCAGCAACAAUUACUAUUAUAAUUUACUUUUACAACCCCCUUCCCUCUAUUUACUUAAUUACAAAUUACAUGGACAAACACCUAAAAAUAUUUUGAUUUAUUCCUUGUGGGAUCGACGCCAACUUUGUUAAGUUCUAUAUUUGACUAAGAAUUUGUUUUAUACUUUUUUGAGAGGUGUAAUUUAGGCAACAUCAGAUAUUGAUCAACCUAGUUAUAUAGUUCAACCUAGCCAUAAUCAAAGAAUUUUAUGCCAUACGCUCCAUAGUAGAGCAGUUUGUAACUCUCCCUACUAUUCAAAUUUAAGAAAGGAAUGUGCUUGUGGAUACUACCACUAUCAAUAUCGUUGUAGGGGUUCCUAACCCUCUAAUAUAGCCUUUAAGGCAAGGGUCUUAAAGUUUAAUUUAAGAUAGGUUGUACGAUACUUGGAACUUAAGGGUAAAGCUGACAAAGUGAGAUGGUCUAUUUAGAGGGGGACCAAGAGUGCAUACUUCUCGAUCAAGGUCAUGAUUUUUUUAGAUUUGUUGUCUCAGAAGAUUUACCAUUCCAGAAAUGUUAAAAAUGUAGUUUUUCAUUUGGUAUGGUUGUGGCAUGCAUUUUGGCGGGGAUUGAGGUGAAUAUGGAGGUACGGAUCAUAGAGAAGUUGCAGUACUUCCAUGACCGAGAGACGUCAGCAAGAGAUUUGUUCUUUUCGUCCUAGAAUAGGAUGUUGUGCAUGUGAGUAGAUGUCCCUGAGGAUGACCAUGCUACCUUCGACGAGUGUGACAUCCCAUAUAAUCCUUCAUGAGGUUUGAGUACCUCUGGCAGGGGCAAAGAAAUAUGGAAGACGAGAGAGAUACUGAGUACAGCAGGGCUAGAGGGAGCGGGUGUAUGAAGUUAAGCUAAACUUAUAUAUUUUAGUAAUUAUUUGCCUCACAUUUAGUAUUUUUAUUUGUUCCUUUUGAGCAUUGAUUUUAUAGAUUGUAACUAAUAUUAUAUUUUUAGGUGUAGGAUUAAAAUGGUGUGAAGAUGAAAAGAUUUGGAGAUAAAAUUAAUUAAAUAUAGAAGAUUAUAGAAGAAAAUUAAGAAGACAACUUAAUGAAAUUAAUUUAAUAAAAUAAUGCAAUAUGACCCAUAGGUGAAACUGACACUAUUGCAUAAAAAUAGAAUGUCAUACCCGGUGUGGCAUGGAAGUCUUCUGAAUUUAAUUUUCCUAGUCCAUUUUGGACUCAGAUAUUUUAUUUGAUAUUUUUUCCUACACCUAUAAAUAUUCCAUAAAAUUAAUUUUCGCAUAAUUUUGACCUAGAGAGAGCUUGAAGCCAUUGUUGAGGCUAAAUAAAAUUGGUUUCAUCUUUUCAUUUCCUUCAUUAUUUAUUUCUACGUUAUUCAUAAGACAAUUUGUUGUAAUUUUUUCAAGUCUAUGUGGAGUUAAAUUUUCAUUCUAGGAUUAUGGUAGCUAGCUGCAUAAUUGUUUAGUUAUUUCUUGGUUUGAUAUGUUUGAUUAUCAUAACAGUUGAUCUUAUAUUGUUAUGCUGACUAUAUUAAUCCUGAGCUACCAUUAAAAUAAAUUUAUAUUCUCGUUGUGAAUUCGAAAGGAGAAGCAAUGACAGAGAAUGAAGAAUAUAAUGAAUAAGAUCUUUACUUUAGUAAAAUAAAUAAUUGAUUUGUGGCUAGGACAAAAAUACAUCUAGAUUGCGUUACUUUGUUACAACAAGAAAAUAUAUAUAAAUGCAUUCGGAUUAGGUUAUCACAUAUAAACCAAGGGAAGAUAUAUAAAUGCAUUUGGAUUGGGUUAUCACAUGUCCGCUAAAUAAUGUUCUUGUGAGGUUAAUUUUGAUAGAAGAUUAGAGAAUCAAAAGACCAUGAUUACAUAAUAAAAUCCAUAAAUCAAUAACUAGAUAAUCAAAUAAGUUGAUGAAAUUGACACUCGACAUGAUUGUUAACGAAUCCAUAAUACUAGAUCGAUUCAUUUAUUGAUUGCAUAAAAAUAAUCUUCUCUUGUUUAACUGUUCAUUAGCUAUUUUCUUUUUAUUAUUUUAUUUUGUAAAUUCAUAAAUUUGUCUUUGCAAUAUAUCAAUUGAGUAAUUAAUUACAAUUAGUAUAAUAUAGUAAAAUAGUUAAUCACUAUGUCCCUAUGGGUUCUAAAUACGGCUUACAAGAGCCACUUUGUUACAUGUACGACCACGUACUCUUGAGUGUGCAUUUAGAUGAAAUAGGGUACUCCACUUUCUAAAGAACCUGCUUCCCCUAGAGGUUGGGAGGCUAACCUUGCUGCGGUGCAGGGAUAUUUAUAAAGGACUUAGAUACACAAGCGAAGAUUGUCUCCUUAUAUCUCAAUUACCUUAGUGGACCUAGGUCAUGCUUACGCUAAUCUUCGAAGGGAUCUAUAUAAGAAAAAAAUAAAUACUACUCCCGAUAUUGCAUGCUUACGAGGACGUGGAUGGUUGUGCAAGUUUUGAUUGGGUGCACCUCCCACACCAAGAAACUUUCAAAGCUGACCAAGAAGGACAUUGAUGAGUCCUCCUACCUUAAUGGGAUUGUGGAGUAGAGCUCGAAUGCCUCAAUCUCCAAAGAUAGUGCCACCAUCUAGACGUCCUCUUCCUCCUCUUAUUUACACUUAAUUGUAUUAGAUUUUGGUUUCUGCCAUUUAGAUCUUUUAACAAAAAGUUGUUUAGCUAAAUCAUAUAAAGUAACACUGGCUUAAUACAUUUGAUAAGUAAAAGUUUUUUGGAAAAUAAUUCAUAACAAAUCCCCAAAACCUAACCUAAACUAGUAAUGGAACACUAUACAAAGAAUAAAGACUCCAUGAUACUACGUCCAUGCAAAAUAGAGAGGGCACAAGCUGCUAUAAAGUUAUCAUUAUCGCUACUAUAGAAACCUCAACUAACAUGCACAAUGUCUAUAUCCUUAAUUGGAGAUAUAGUAAGUGUAGCAUUAGCACAAAUAUACAUACUAGAAGUCAUCAUUGGCCAUUCAAGGUUAGAAACAAAUUAAUAACAAAUAAGAAGAAAUCAUAAUAUUAAGUAACAUUCCAGUUUCUAAAUCCCAAAUUAUGAAAUAAUAACACAAAAACAUAAAACAUCCCUGAACAUAUCUGUCAUUUAACAUAUUAGUAUAUCUUUGUCCUUUAAUCACCUACUCUAUCUCAUACCCUCUCAUCACUUAAUCAAUCUAUUGAAUGGAGUUUCACUAUUCCUUACUCACUCUUGAUUGGAUCUAUAUACAUCAUGAAAUUACAGUCUUAUGACAACCUCGCUUAGACUGGUCUGUCUCAAUACUCUGCUAACCCAACACUUUACAGGUCUUACAACCACUUAGGUACUAAUGACCUAACUAAUGUGUAAAGAGGGACAAUAAUUUAGAAUAUUAUCCCGUAAAUAUAUGCUAAGAAAGUUAACAUUAGACUCAAAUUAUUACGUUCUUUAGAUUCAUAGUAUGCUACUAAAUUUCGCUAGUUCUAUCAAUGGAUUACUUCACUCAAGAAUUCAAUGAUGACACAUAGAAUAUAGUAGAAUGUCAAGGUAUAUGAAUUAAUGCAUGUAUGAAAGUUGUCCACAUUAUCUCUCCCCUUUCUCAACCUUAUCAACAUCACAAUCAUUAGCAAUCCCAUAAACAUCAUGGGUUACAAAUCAACAUUAUUACCAUCACUUCAACUAAGCAUCAACAAUAGCAUAAGCAUGAUUUGAAUAAUAACAUAGACAUUAAUGACACCUUACCUCUAGAAAAGCAAAUGUAUAAAUAAACAAUGAAACCAAUAAUCAUGAGCAUUUCUUGAAAGCUACAAUAGUUACAAAUUCGCAUUCCUUCAUAUGGAUAUCGCUAUUAUUUCCAAACAUAUACUUAGGUACAUAUAUCAUAAGACUUCUCACUCUAUAAGUUUAACCCAAAUUAAAUAUUUAGACAUAGACACAGUUACUCACCUUGUUUUUCACCACUCUUGUUCAUGUCCCUAACUUAAAACUCAAAAUCCUUUCUAAAUGCUUCUUUGGAAACUCUUUCACUUAGCAUUACCUAUCUGAGUCGGAUCAGAGUCUAUCUAAGACACAAUUAGGUUACUCUCAACCCUUAAUCCUUAAUUAAAUUUUGUUACCCUUCUUAAACAUAAGAUCAAAUGAUCAAAUUUACCAAGUGCACCCUCUAUCACACCCUAUCUUAAUACUACUCCCCAUUUUACUGAACUUAACUCAUACGGUAAUUAUGAGUUGUAAUAUUUCAUAAACUUAAUACAAUUAUCAAAACAUUUAACCCAUUUCACAUCAAGAAUACUACAUUAUUAUGGGAAAAUAUGAAUAAUCUCAAUAUUAAAACCUAAUUGUACUAUUGUUGUUUAUCGUUGCCGUUCAUCCAGUCACCAUACCUAAAGGCCUAAUGCAUAAUAACUCCUGAGAUUUAUAUCUAUAUUAAAUAGAUAUAUCCCAUGUAUUGAUGUAAAAAUAAGAAUUUCGUAACCUAAAUCUUAGCCAAAUCAUAACAAUAUCGAGAGAAAAGAGUUGAACCAUAAGUACUAAGCACCUUACCAUGGCUGGGUCCUGUCAGGUGUGCCUCAAAACCCUACUUAUGAACCCUGGUAUAUGAGAUCUCAUGGUUAGGGAAGUGGAGUUUUUUAGAGUGUUUUUAAGGGAAGGGAGUGACUUAGGAAAAUGUUAAAG
This 14354-nucleotide long non-coding RNA is filed under the name Capsicum annuum. Its description in RNAcentral is "long non-coding RNA (CANN_LNC006993)". The record is from RNAcentral. Lineage: Eukaryota; Viridiplantae; Streptophyta; Magnoliopsida; Solanales; Solanaceae.